This is a long non-coding RNA of Trachemys scripta elegans, 1805 nucleotides long. RefSeq lists it as uncharacterized. The record is from RefSeq and is a predicted model, not a curated record. Lineage: Eukaryota; Metazoa; Chordata; Testudines; Emydidae. The transcript is spliced from 3 exons.
CCCUCCGCCCUUUCCUUGGUCUACCCCCCCUCAUUCCUGCUGCGCCCAGGCAGAGCUCUCCCUGCCCCAUAUGGUGCAGAAAAGCCCUUGUGUCAGGGCCACAGCCCCACUGGAGCUUGGAAAGCUCCACUUUUGAGGAGGUGGGGGUGGGACAGAGGCUCAGGGCUAGCUUCACCUUCUGCCCUUUAUUCUCCCCUUGGCCCUUCUAUGGGGUCUCUGGGUGUGACAGGAAUAGGAGCCUCCUUCCAGCUGUCUUUCAGGCCCUGGGAUCUGCCACAGCCUCCCAGACAGGCGCUUCCUCUAGCUGAGCCACGUCAGGGAGCAGUGGGGACAGGUCACCUCGUCCCAGCAAUGCCGGCUCUCAAAGAGGCUUAGAUGGAAGACCCCAGUCCCUCAUGGAGAGGCGGUGUCCAGGAUCCUGGAGACUGUUUCCUGCUGCAGGAGGUUUGAGCGGGGAGAGAUCACUCACUGUCACGACCCAGGGGUCUCCAACCCGGGUCUGCAGGGUUCAUGGGAGCAGCCACACUCCAACCCUCCACCUGGAAGCCUGCUGAAAAUUGCUUACCUCGGACCCAUGAAGUUCAGCCCCAGUUUGAGGCUCCACUCCUGAGGUCCUAUUGGAGGAGUCCCAGGAAAGCUCACUGGCCCCCUGGCCCUGCGUAAGACAGCAGCAGGAACACAAAGCUGACUGAAUACCAGGCCUGCUCCCGGUUCUGGACCGUGCGCUGCCUGGUUCUGCUGCCGCUCCCCUGGCUUGAUUUCCUGAGUUGUGGUGGUGAUAGCACGUUUGUCUUUUGCUGCUGAUCUUCCAGUAUCCUGACCUGGCUGACUCUCCACUCAUGUCAUGGCUCCCCAUCCAUCCUGGAGCUGAACACCAGAUGGGAGGUGAUGGAUUGUCCUUGGUGGGCCAUGUUCUUUUGUGUGAUGAGAGGGCCAGGAGCAGAUGCACCAUGCCUGGGCAGGACCGGGCUAAAAAGCCUGUAAUGCUAAGUGAGUCAAACCAGGGCCACAAUACAGACAACCUGGGCAUCCAUGGGGACUGAAUCUGGGCCCUUCACUACGAAGAGCACAACUGGUUCCAACUUGAGUCAUGAUGCUGGUGACCCCUGCCAGCCCCUCUGAGGUGGGUCAGUAUUAUCCCUGUCCCCUGGGGCAUAGGGAUAGAAAGCAACUGGCUGCAAGGUCACACACAACGUCCCUAACAGAGGCAGGAAGGAAGCGUGGGACUGAUACCAGUCCAGCUCCAACCGCUAGACUCCACCCAUUUCCAAAGUCCGAGAACCCAGGAGCCCUGACUCUGACACUAGGCCUUAAAUGACAAGACCAACCUCCCUCCCACUCAGGAAGCCAUAGAAGGGACCAUCUGCUGAGCUCCCCUUGCAAUGGUCUCUGACAGUGGCAUUGCCUAGUGGGUGCCAAGUGCCUGAGCAGGGAACUGCUUGAGAGCCUCCUAGAGACUCGCAGAUGUUUGACUGUGACCCUCAGGGAGCCGUGGCAAGAGACUCUCCGGCUCUAACAAAGGGUUUCUGUUCUCCUAGACAGUCAGCCCGUGAGGCCAGUUUGCAGAAUGUGGAAGAGCCCUUUGGCGAGGCAUUGGAGGAUUCACCAUGAAGGUGGCAGCAGCGGCAGUGCCUGGGGUCCCUAUGGGUCAAGCAUCAACUCCUGCCAAUCCAGGCUAAUCUCCCCCUGCUUUCAGCAGCGCUUGGCUUUAGCUGCUGGGCCUGUGAGCCUAGACCAGGGGUCUCAAACUCAAAUGACCACGAGGGCCGGCUGAGGACUAGUUCAUUGGCCUGAGGGCCGCAUCA